UUCUAACCAAGUCGGUUGGCCUGGUUGCGGGGCAAUGAUGGAAGAGGUCGGUCUACUGUUGGAGAUUAUCUGGAGGCUUCGAUUUUUAUGGGAGUGGCGUGCGUCGGUCUUCUUUUUCAUAUCGAACUCCAGCUUCCUCUCUGUUUCAGUCUCUUUCUCUCACUGAUCUGAAGGUUUAUGCUUCUUUGGCAAGAAGAGAAAUGCGCUGCAAGGAACCCAAAAAUACCAGGACUCUUCAUGCCUAAUAGGAAACCCAAUAGAUGACUGUUAGGAAUGUGACCCAAAUUGGCCAAACAACAGGCAGAGCUUAGCAGAUUGUGCAAUUGGGUUUGGCUAAUAUGCUCUUGGAGGCAAAGGUGGUGAGUAUUAUAUUGUCACAGACUCUUCUAAUGAUGAUGCUGUGAAUCCAAGGCGGGGCACUCUGAGUUAUGCUGUGAUACAGACUGAGCCUCUCUGGAUUGUGUUCCCUGGCAACAUGCUCAUCAAGCUCUCCCAAGAGCUCAUCUUCAACAGCUACAAAACCCUUGAUGGCCGUGGAGCCAAUGUCCACAUUGUGGGUGGUGGCUGCACCACAUUGCAGUUCAUAAGCAAUGUCAUCAUCCACAAUGUGCAUAUCCACAACUGUUAUCCGUCAGGUGGCACUAACAUGCGUUCAAGCCCAACCCACUACGGCUACCGCACAAAAUCAGACGGAUUUUGACUGGUAAAGGAUUGAUACUCAAUCAAAUACAGGGAAAUUUCAAUCCCUCUUUCGUGUAUGAGCCCUCAUAAAGAUGACAUUUAUAUGCUUUUGUUGAAGAACUUUACGAAAUAUUCAUUACAUUUUUGUGUUGUUUUACCACACAUUGUAUUUCAGUAUCUUCUUCAGGAUGUUGCUUUGGAGCCCAAAUGGUUGAAUAAAAUCCCUGUAGGUGGGUUUUUCUGGUAAUGCAUCUUCAGCCCCUGAAUCAAGAAAUUGUAAAUUCUCCAGUAAUGUGAUGAUUCAUGCAGUUGACAAAUUCGGGAGCUUCUUAAGGCAAUUUCCUCUUUUUCCAAAUGCUUUUCUGGUUGGUGGUUGGUGCAGAAGACUUCUUUAUUAUUCAACUUGCAGAUCAGCUUCAAAAACUGAAGGUGGAACCAGCACAUAAAACUUCUCCAGGGCCCGAGUCAUUGGGUAUUAUUGUUGGAAUUAUUUUCUUGGUCUUGGGAAUCUUAUUCUAGUUUUUCAACUUCACUGCAGAUUCAAAUAGUUAAAACCUCCGCCGAGGACAAGAAAGAACAUAAGCCACCUCUACAGCUGAGCUAACAAGAGAAAGAAUCCCUAUAGUUCAAAUAGGCAGCUCUUGGGGACUUUGAAACAUGUGAUGCCAUGUAGGCAUACACCCUUCUCAUCCAGCUAAUAUGUUUCUCAGUUUCCUUGUCAUCAUCCCAAGUGACCAAAUACUGGAUUGCAAAUAUACUUCCAUUUCUAUGUGGGAAAGGAGUUUCUGAAUAAGAUAUCUCACUCAUUCUUCCACCGUAAGGUGCCAAUAUCAACUGGGAUGUCUCUACUUCAAGUAGUCUUUGCCACAAACCUUCCAAGCCAGCUUGUGAAAUGUGUUGCGUCACAUUGUCCGAUUUUGCUUUGAAGAAGCUCCUAGAUGGCUGAGUCCUUUUCAGCAAAACUUCCAAAUAUUCGCUUAUUGGGAAGCCAGCAAAGUACAUCACAGACUGGAUCCAACUCAUUUCAGUGCAAUUGCUGUGGUCUAAACUCAAGUCCGGGAACUUAUCUUGCAUCAAAAGGAGAAGCUUCUCAACCGGUCCAAGAAACAACGAAUCAAACGACACUUUAAUAGUUUUGCCAUCAGUUGCACCGGCUUCAUUUGCAACUUCCACAACCAAAUGUAAGAAAAGGUCUUCAUGGAGCUUAUCUGUUACACCUUCUUAUAUGGCCAGAAUGACUGCAAAGCUCGAGCCUCAUCCUCCUCUGAUAGCCCAUAAGAGUUCUUCUCCCAUGGGCAGAGUUCUCCUCCAAUCUAAUAAAAUCACUUUCUUGUUUCCCUUACAAUUCUAACAAAAAGGAUGAAAAGUAGAGGAAGUAGUUUCAUGUGUAAGGUCACCAUUUUCAUUUCCUCUGUAUGAAAUGCAUGAGCUCUUAGCUCACUUGAAAGAUAAUUGCAGGCAUUAGGUGUGCAUAUUGAAGACAAAGCAAAGGUUCAGUAUGUGUCUCUUUCUUCUGUCAGUUAUUAUAGAAGAAACAAGUAACAAAACUCUACGGAUUUAGAGUCUUCUC
RNA transcript from Prunus persica (peach), 2251 nucleotides. RefSeq lists it as uncharacterized. The transcript has 8 exons. NCBI's taxonomy places the organism in Eukaryota, Viridiplantae, Streptophyta, Magnoliopsida, Rosales, Rosaceae. The record is from RefSeq and is a predicted model, not a curated record.